AGAAAAGGUUUGAGGACAAGGGGUUAAUCAUGUGGGAAAAAUAAAGUUAGGUUUUAAGAAAAUUUCUACCUCUUCCACCUCCUAGCUGGUGGCCUGUGAAAGUCCCUUUACUUCUCAGAGCCUCUUUUUCCACAUCUGUAAAAUGGGCAUACUAUUCCCGAUCCAUACGAUUUGUGCAAAUAUUCAGUGAGACACUGGAAGCCUGCUCUCUGGAGUCACUCAGUCAGCAGGGUUGCUGUUUCUACAACACAGCAAGGUCCAAAUCGUAGGUUGUUUUUUUUUUUUUUUUUUUGAGACAAAGUCUUGCUCUGUCAGCCAGGCUGGAGUGCAGUGGUGCGAUCUUGCCUCACUGCAACCUCUGCCUCUCAGGUUCAAGUGAUUCUCCUGCCUCAGCCGCUGGGGUAGCUGGGAUUACAGGCGCCUGCCACCAUGUCUGGCUGAUUUUUGUAUUUUUAGUAGAGAUGGGGUUUCACCAUGUUGGCCAGGCUGGUCUUGAACUCCUGGCCUCAAGUAAUCCGCCCACCUCGGCUUCCCAAGGUGCUGAGAUUACAGGCAUGAGCCACUACGUCCAGCCUCCUAGUUUAUUCUUUAGUAACUGUGUGACCUUAGGCAAAUGCCUUCACCUCUCUGUGCCUUACCUUUCUCAUCUCCAGUAUUAGCAUAACCACACCUACCCUAUAUUAUUAUUGGAAACAUUCUUUUUUUUUUUUUUUUUACAGUCUUGCUCUGUCACCCAGGUUGGAGUGCAGUGGCGCGAUCUCGGCUCACUGCAGCCUCCGCCUCCCAGGUUCAAGCGAUUCUUCUGCCUCAGCCUCCUGAAUAGCUGAGACUACAGGUGUGCACCACCAUGCCCGGCUAAUUUUUUUGUAUUUUUAGUAGAGAUGGGGUUUUGCCAUGUUGGCCACGCUGGUCUCGAACUCCUGACCUCAGGUGAUCCACCCACCUCGGCCUUUCAAAGUGUUGGAAUUACAGGCAUGAGCCACUGCUCCCGGCCUGUUAUGGGAAACAUUCAAUGACUAAAGUGAUGCCCAGUGCCUGGCACAUGGGAAGCGCUAAGCCAAUGGCAGCUGCCUUCAUGAUAGACCCUGAAUUGUAGAACUACAGCAUCUUAGAAAGAUCUGCAGAUGCAGACUCAUAGAAUCUUGGAAUCCCAGGACAUUAGAACAGUAGAAUCUUAGAUAAUACAUGCUUAGAAUCUUGGAAUCACAGAGCCAUAGAACUGUUGAAGUUUUAGAGCCAGAAGGACCAGAGACCAUCUGCCCCAGUGAUUUGCAAGCCCAUGGAAAUUUGCAAAUACUACUACUACCACCACCAACAAUAACAACAAAAGCAGCAUCAACAGCUAACAGUUUAAUAGAGUAACUUAUCUAGGUUCCACCACAACCCUAAGAUAGGUGUUAUUAUUACCCCAUUUUCUAGAUUGGGAAAUGGAGGCACAAAGAAAGAACUUGCACAAGUUCUUUCACAGGUGAGAAAAAUGAGGAUUGGAGAAAUCAAAGUCACUUGCUCAAGGUCACAUAGGACGUAAGUACUGUACGGAGAAGGAUUCAACUAAACAACAGAGCCCAGAGCCUGAGUUUUCAGCUAUGAUCUCCCUCAGUCUUUGGAACACUCGAGUAAUAAGGCAGGGAAUAAAUCCUGGUUCUAUAACCUUUCGACUCCACUGUCUCAGAGCUCCUGUGGAUUAGGGGGAGGGGGUAGAAGGCUCAGGCACAGAUGGUGCUGACCCCAUUUUCCUUGCAACAUUCACAAACUCCUGAUGAACCCUGAGUCCCUUGUGGCCACGACCAAGGCGGAGGGAAGAGGCAAUGCCCUCGCCUCCCUGUAAACUGUGAAUAACUUGUGCGCUGCUGGUGGGAAGGGAUUCGGGAGAAACCUGGCGGGGAGCGAGGAGCUUCAGCACCAAGGACAGCGUCCGCGCUACACGCCCCAAGCCCUGCGGUCUUUUUUGGGAGCGCUCCACCCUGCAGCUCUCCUCCAGGCUUCUCCGCCCACCAUUUCCCCAUGAGCUUAGGGGAACUCAGGCCUGUGCUCUGCCCCACCUCAGGGCAACGACAGGAC
This 2061-nucleotide long non-coding RNA is filed under the name Homo sapiens (human). Its description in RNAcentral is "HSALNT0398244". Lineage: Eukaryota; Metazoa; Chordata; Mammalia; Primates; Hominidae. The record is from RNAcentral.